UGGUCUGAGAGGAUGAUCAGUCGCGAUGGGACUGAGACACGGCCCAUACUCCUACGGGAGGCAGCAGUAAGGAAUCUUCCACAAUGGACGAAAGUCUGAUGGAGCAACACCGCGUGGUUGAUGAAGCCCUUCGGGGUGUAAAGACCUUUUCUGGGAGAAGAAUUCUGACGGUAUCCUAGGAAUAAGCACCGGCUAACUCCGUGCCAGCAGCCGCGGUAAUACGGAGGGUGCAAGCGUUAUCCGGAAUCAUUGGGCGUAAAGCGUCCGCAGGCGGUUUGUUCAGUUGGGUGUUAAAUUUUGCAGCUCAACUGCAAAAAUACAUUCAAAACUGGCAAACUAGAGUACUUCAGAGGUACGUGGAAUUCUGUGUGUAGGGGUAAAAUCCAUAGAUACACAGAGGAAUACCAAAAGCGAAGGCAGCGUACUGGGAAGUCACGGACGCUCAGGGACGAAAGCGUGGGUAGCGAACGGGAUUAGAUACCCCGGUAGUCCACGCCGUAAACGAUGGAUACUAGUUGUUGGAGGACUCGACCCCUCCAGUGACGUCGCUAACGCAUUAAGUGUCCCGCCUGGGGAGUACGGUCGCAAGAUUAAAACUCAAAGGAAUAGACGGGGACCCACACAAGCGGUGGAGCAUGUGGUUUAAUUCGACGAUAAGCGAGGAACCUUACCUGGACUUGACAUCCCGAGAAUUUCCCCGAAAAGGGAAAGUGCCGCAAGGAACUCGGUGACAGGUGCUGCAUGGUUGUCGUCAGCUCGUGCCUUGAGGUGUUCGGUUAAGUCCGUGAACGAGCGCAACCCUUGUCCUGUGUUGUAUUUUCACAGGAGACUGCCGGCUUUAAGUCGGAGGAAGGUAAGGAUGACGUCAAAUCAGCAUGGCCCUUAUGUCCAGGGCUACACACGUGCUACAAUGGCAGGUACAAUAGGCAGCAAACCCGCGAGGGGGAGCCAAUCCUCAAAAACCUGUCCUAAGUUCGAAUUGAUGGCUGCAACUCGCCAUCAUGAAGUUGGAAUCGCUAGUAACCGCGUAUCAGCCAUGACGCGGUGAAUAUGUUCCUGGGUCUUGUACUCACCGCCCGUCACGUCAUGAAAGGUGGAGGCACCCG
This 1106-nucleotide ribosomal RNA is filed under the name uncultured organism. RNAcentral describes it as "bacterial SSU rRNA". It matches the Rfam family "Bacterial small subunit ribosomal RNA", at positions 288 to 1423 of the family's 1533-position model. The record is from RNAcentral.